This 427-nucleotide ribosomal RNA is filed under the name uncultured bacterium. RNAcentral describes it as "partial 16S ribosomal RNA". It matches the Rfam family "Bacterial small subunit ribosomal RNA", at positions 355 to 774 of the family's 1533-position model. The record is from RNAcentral.
UGGGGAAUAUUGCACAAUGGGCGCAAGCCUGAUGCAGCCAUGCCGCGUGUAUGAAGAAGGCCUUCGGGUUGUAAAGUACUUUCAGCGAGGAGGAAGGCGUUGUGGUUAAUAACCGCAACGAUUGACGUUACUCGCAGAAGAAGCACCGGCUAACUCCGUGCCAGCAGCCGCGGUAAUACGGAGGGUGCAAGCGUUAAUCGGAAUUACUGGGCGUAAAGCGCACGCAGGCGGUCUAUCAAGUCGGAUGUGAAAUCCCCGGGCUCAACCUGGGAACUGCAUCCGAAACUGGCAGGCUAGAGUCUUGUAGAGGGGGGUAGAAUUCCAGGUGUAGCGGUGAAAUGCGUAGAGAUCUGGAGGAAUACCGGUGGCGAAGGCGGCCCCCUGGACAAAGACUGACGCUCAGGUGCGAAAGCGUGGGGAGCAAACA